Oreochromis aureus is the source of this 961-nucleotide long non-coding RNA. RefSeq lists it as uncharacterized. Lineage: Eukaryota; Metazoa; Chordata; Actinopteri; Cichliformes; Cichlidae. The record is from RefSeq and is a predicted model, not a curated record. The transcript is spliced from 3 exons.
UGAAAGUAAAAUAUCUUCAUAUGAACCAGUUUAUCACGAAGGGAAGGUUAGUUUCAUCUGGUCUUUAUAAAUUUUUAUGUUAUGACAGGUGUAGUUCAUGUUAUGUUGGGUAUACACUGUAUAAUUUAUUUUCUAUUCAGUGGAUAAAACCUUGUUAAGUUUCUCAGUGGAGUGAUUUGUAUUCAUUUUAAACGGAUACACAUCCACUGAUACACACUUAUCCCUCCUCCCUUUCCAAACGCCUUCGAUGCUUGUCCCUCUCCCGGUGUUGUGCCAAAAAGUGAUUGCCAAAAACUGAUUUCCGGUCUAGCCCGGCUAGUAAUCAGGUCGUGACAAACCGUUCGAGCACUUCCUCGUGGCGCCAGAAUUGUGUUGCUUGUGUCACUGAGGAGUGUGGAACGAGAGAGAGCAGUGAGCACGGGGAGUGCAGAGACACAGGAGCAGAGAGCACUAAACAGGGACUUUUUGGGAAGAAGACACGACACGGGAGUAAAGGGGGAGCACGGGGAUUUAUUGUCAUUUUCGCACUGUAAAUAAACGCACCACUUGCAGUGAAGAGUCCAGCGUUCUGGGUCCUCCUUUCCCCCACAUCCCCACGGCUUGCCCUGGCAAACCAUGACAAUCACAACAACCACAAACUCUGGGAAGUCUGGGACUUGAGAAGACGCAGUAAAGAAAUAUUUCAAAGAGUGGGUUUGUGUAUAAUUAUUUUACUUGAUAAGCUGUAGCGAUAAAAGGUUUUAACUCUUUAUAAAAAUGAAAAUGGUAUUUUGUGGCGAAAAUAAAAGUUUUGGUUACAGCCACUAAAUUACCAACAGACCCCCUGACUGAUGUCAAUUACAACUGUUGGAUCAUUUAGAAAGACGGCAGGUUCACUUAUAAAAAGAUGUGCAAUGAGCAAUUUAAAGAAAUAGCCAAGUUGAUUGAUUUGAUUUUUUUUUUUUGAUUUGAUUUUUUUAUU